This 435-nucleotide ribosomal RNA is filed under the name uncultured bacterium. RNAcentral's name for it is "partial 16S ribosomal RNA". It matches the Rfam family "Bacterial small subunit ribosomal RNA", at positions 29 to 507 of the family's 1533-position model. The record is from RNAcentral.
AGCGAACGCUGGCGGCAGGCUUAACACAUGCAAGUCGAACGGGCAUAGCAAUAUGUCAGUGGCAGACGGGUGAGUAACGCGUGGGAACGUACCUUUUGGUUCGGAACAACACAGGGAAACUUGUGCUAAUACCGGAUAAGCCCUUACGGGGAAAGAUUUAUCGCCGAAAGAUCGGCCCGCGUCUGAUUAGCUAGUGGGUAGGGUAAUGGCCUACCAAGGCGACGAGCAGUAGCUGGUCUGAGAGGAUGAUCAGCCACAUUGGGACUGAGACACGGCCCAAACUCCUACGGGAGGCAGCAGUGGGGAAUAUUGGACAAUGGGCGUAAGCCUGAUCCAGCCAUGCCGCGUGAGUGAUGAAGGCCGUAGGGUUGUAAAGCUCUUUUGUGCGGGAAGAUAAUGACGGUACCGCAAGAAUAAGCCCCGGCUAACUUCGUG